AUGCACGCUGGCGGCGUGCCUCAUCCCUGCAAGUCGCGCGCACAGACGAGGAGCUUGCUCCUCUGACGUUAGCGGCGGACGGGUGAGUAACACGUGGAUAACCUACCUAUAAGACUGGGAUAACUUCGGGAAACCGGAGCUAAUACCGGAUAAUAUAUUGAACCGCAUGGUUCAAUAGUGAAAGACGGUUUUGCUGUCACUUAUAGAUGGAUCCGCGCCGCAUUAGCUAGUUGGUAAGGUAACGGCUUACCAAGGCGACGAUGCGUAGCCGACCUGAGAGGGUGAUCGGCCACACUGGAACUGAGACACGGUCCAGACUCCUACGGGAGGCAGCAGUAGGGAAUCUUCCGCAAUGGGCGAAAGCCUGACGGAGCAACGCCGCGUGAGUGAUGAAGGUCUUCGGAUCGUAAAACUCUGUUAUUAGGGAAGAACAAAUGUGUAAGUAACUAUGCACGUCUUGACGGUACCUAAUCAGAAAGCCACGGCUAACUACGUG
RNAcentral lists this ribosomal RNA (496 nucleotides) under uncultured bacterium. RNAcentral describes it as "partial 16S ribosomal RNA". It matches the Rfam family "Bacterial small subunit ribosomal RNA", at positions 29 to 507 of the family's 1533-position model. The record is from RNAcentral.